GAUGAACGCUGGCGGCGUGCUUAACACAUGCAAGUCGAACGAUUAAGACGGCUUCGGCCGUGAAUAGAGUGGCGAACGGGUGAGUAACACGUGACCAACCUGCCCCCCGCUCCGGGACAACCGCUGGAAACGGCGGCUAAUACCGGGUACUCCGGCCAGCCCGCAUGGGCGGGCCGGGAAAGCCCAGGCGGCGGGGGAUGGGGUCGCGGCCCAUUAGGUAGUAGGCGGGGUAGAGGCCCACCUAGCCGACGAUGGGUAGCCGGACUGAGAGGUCGACCGGCCACAUUGGGACUGAGAUACGGCCCAGACUCCUACGGGAGGCAGCAGUGGGGAAUUUUGCGCAAUGGGGGAAACCCUGACGCAGCAACGCCGCGUGCGGGACGAAGGCCCUCGGGUCGUAAACCGCUUUCAGCAGGGAAGACAGUGACGGUACCUGCAGAAGAAGCUCCGGCUAACUACGUGCCAGCAGCCGCAGUAACAC
RNAcentral lists this ribosomal RNA (481 nucleotides) under uncultured bacterium. RNAcentral describes it as "bacterial SSU rRNA". It matches the Rfam family "Bacterial small subunit ribosomal RNA", at positions 28 to 526 of the family's 1533-position model. The record is from RNAcentral.